This 386-nucleotide ribosomal RNA is filed under the name uncultured bacterium. RNAcentral's name for it is "bacterial SSU rRNA". It matches the Rfam family "Bacterial small subunit ribosomal RNA", at positions 28 to 414 of the family's 1533-position model. The record is from RNAcentral.
GACGAACGCUGGCGGCGUGCUUAACACAUGCAAGUCGAGCGGUAAGGCCCUUUCGGGGGUACACGAGCGGCGAACGGGUGAGUAACACGUGGGUGACCUGCCCUUAGCUCUGGGAUAAGCCUGGGAAACUGGGUCUAAUACCGGAUAUGACUCCAUGACGCAUGCUGUGGGGUGGAAAGCCUUGUGCGGCUAGGGAUGGGCCCGCGGCCUAUCAGCUUGUUGGUGGGGUGANGGCCUACCAAGGCGACGACGGGUAGCCGGCCUGAGAGGGCGACCGGCCACACUGGGACUGAGACACGGCCCAGACUCCUACGGGAGGCAGCAGGUGGGGAAUCUUGCGCAAGUGGGCGAAAGCCUGACGCAGCGACGCCGCGUGGGGAUGACGG